Molecule: ribosomal RNA, 3144 nt
Filed under: Streptomyces chartreusis
Lineage: Bacteria; Bacillati; Actinomycetota; Actinomycetes; Kitasatosporales; Streptomycetaceae
Description: 23S ribosomal RNA
Rfam family: Bacterial large subunit ribosomal RNA
Source: RNAcentral
ACAGUGGACGCGAGCAUCUGUGGCCAAGUUUUUAAGGGCGCACGGUGGAUGCCUUGGCACCAGGAACCGAUGAAGGACGUGGGAGGCCACGAUAGUCCCCGGGGAGUCGUCAACCAGGCUUUGAUCCGGGGGUUUCCGAAUGGGGAAACCCGGCAGUCGUCAUGGGCUGUCACCCUUGUCUGAACACAUAGGGCAAGUGGAGGGAACGCGGGGAAGUGAAACAUCUCAGUACCCGCAGGAAGAGAAAACAACCGUGAUUCCGGGAGUAGUGGCGAGCGAAACUGGAUGAGGCCAAACCGUAUACGUGUGAGACCCGGCAGGGGUUGCGUAUGCGGGUUGUGGGAUCUCUCUUUCACAGUCUGCCGGCUGUGAGACGAGUCAGAAACCGUUGAUGUAGGCGAAGGACAUGCGAAAGGUCCGGCGUAGAGGGUAAGACCCCGUAGUCGAAACAUCAGCGGCUCGUUUGAGAGACACCCAAGUAGCACGGGGCCCGAGAAAUCCCGUGUGAAUCUGGCGGGACCACCCGCUAAGCCUAAAUAUUCCCUGGUGACCGAUAGCGGAUAGUACCGUGAGGGAAUGGUGAAAAGUACCCCGGGAGGGGAGUGAAAUAGUACCUGAAACCGUGUGCCUACAAGCCGUGGGAGCGUCGGAUAUGUGCUUGCACAUAUCUCGUGACUGCGUGCCUUUUGAAGAAUGAGCCUGCGAGUUUGCGGUGUGUUGCGAGGUUAACCCGUGUGGGGAAGCCGUAGCGAAAGCGAGUCCGAAUAGGGCGGUAUAGUAGCGCGCUCAAGACCCGAAGCGGAGUGAUCUAGCCAUGGGCAGGUUGAAGCGGAGGUAAGACUUCGUGGAGGACCGAACCCACCAGGGUUGAAAACCUGGGGGAUGACCUGUGGUUAGGGGUGAAAGGCCAAUCAAACUCCGUGAUAGCUGGUUCUCCCCGAAAUGCAUUUAGGUGCAGCGUCGUGUGUUUCUUGCCGGAGGUAGAGCACUGGAUAGGCGAUGGGCCCUACCGGGUUACUGACCUUAGCCAAACUCCGAAUGCCGGUAAGUGAGAGCGCGGCAGUGAGACUGUGGGGGAUAAGCUCCAUGGUCGAGAGGGAAACAGCCCAGAGCAUCGACUAAGGCCCCUAAGCGUACGCUAAGUGGGAAAGGAUGUGGAGUCGCAGAGACAACCAGGAGGUUGGCUUAGAAGCAGCCACCCUUGAAAGAGUGCGUAAUAGCUCACUGGUCUAGUGAUUCCGCGCCGACAAUGUAGCGGGGCUCAAGCGUACCGCCGAAGUCGUGUCAUUGCAGCAAUACUCCCAACGGAGGCUGUGAUGGGUAGGGGAGCGUCGUGUGCCGGGUGAAGCCGCGCCGGAAGGCAGUGGUGGACGGUUCACGAGUGAGAAUGCAGGCAUGAGUAGCGAUUCACACGUGAGAAACGUGUGCGCCGAUUGACUAAGGGUUCCUGGGUCAAGCUGAUCUGCCCAGGGUAAGUCGGGACCUAAGGCGAGGCCGACAGGCGUAGUCGAUGGAUAACCGGUUGAUAUUCCGGUACCCGCUGUGAAGCGUCAAACAUCGAACCCAUUAAUGCUAAGGCCGUGAAGCCGCCCUGGAGCCUUCGGGCAAAGGGGAGUGGUGGAGCCGCCGAACCAAGGUGGUAGUAGGUGAGUGAUGGGGUGACGCAGGAAGGUAGUCCAUCCCGGGCGGUGGUUGUCCCGGGGUAAGGGUGUAGGACGUCAGGUAGGCAAAUCCGCCUGACAUGUGUCUGAGACCUGAUGCCGAGCCGAUUGUGGUGAAGUGGAUGAUCCUAUGCUGUCGAGAAAAGCCUCUAGCGAGUUUCAUGGCGGCCCGUACCCUAAACCGACUCAGGUGGUCAGGUAGAGAAUACCGAGGCGUUCGGGUGAACUAUGGUUAAGGAACUCGGCAAAAUGCCCCCGUAACUUCGGGAGAAGGGGGGCCAUGUCCGGUGAUUGGAUUUACUCCAUGAGCUGGGGGUGGCCGCAGAGACCAGCGAGAAGCGACUGUUUACUAAAAACACAGGUCCGUGCGAAGCCGUAAGGCGAUGUAUACGGACUGACGCCUGCCCGGUGCUGGAACGUUAAGGGGACCGGUUAGCUCCAUUUCGGUGGGGCGAAGCUGAGAACUUAAGCGCCAGUAAACGGCGGUGGUAACUAUAACCAUCCUAAGGUAGCGAAAUUCCUUGUCGGGUAAGUUCCGACCUGCACGAAUGGCGUAACGACUUCUCGACUGUCUCAACCAUAGGCCCGGUGAAAUUGCACUACGAGUAAAGAUGCUCGUUUCGCGCAGCAGGACGGAAAGACCCCGGGACCUUUACUACAGUUUGAUAUUGGUGUUCGGUUCGGCUUGUGUAGGAUAGCUGGGAGACUGUGAACUCUGGACGCCAGUUCAGGGGGAGUCGUCGUUGAAAUACCAGUCUGGUCGUGCUGGAUGUCUAACCUGGGUCCGUGAUCCGGAUCAGGGACAGUGUCUGAUGGGUAGUUUAACUGGGGCGGUUGCCUCCUAAAGAGUAACGGAGGCGCCCAAAGGUUCCCUCAGCCUGGUUGGCAAUCAGGUGUUGAGUGUAAGUGCACAAGGGAGCUUGACUGUGAGACCGACGGGUCGAGCAGGGACGAAAGUCGGGACUAGUGAUCCGGCGGUGGCUUGUGGAAGCGCCGUCGCUCAACGGAUAAAAGGUACCCCGGGGAUAACAGGCUGAUCUUCCCCAAGAGUCCAUAUCGACGGGAUGGUUUGGCACCUCGAUGUCGGCUCGUCGCAUCCUGGGGCUGGAGUCGGUCCCAAGGGUUGGGCUGUUCGCCCAUUAAAGCGGUACGCGAGCUGGGUUUAGAACGUCGUGAGACAGUUCGGUCCCUAUCCGCUGCGCGCGCAGGAAUAUUGAGAAGGGCUGUCCCUAGUACGAGAGGACCGGGACGGACGAACCUCUGGUGUGCCAGUUGUUCUGCCAAGGGCAUGGCUGGUUGGCUACGUUCGGGAGGGAUAACCGCUGAAAGCAUCUAAGCGGGAAGCCUGCUUCGAGAUGAGUAUUCCCACCCACUUGAUGGGGUAAGGCUCCCAGUAGACGACUGGGUUGAUAGGCCGGAUCUGGAAGCACGGUAACGUGUGGAGGUGACCGGUACUAAUAGGCCGAGGGCUUGUCCUCAGUUG